CGGGGUGAGUAACGCGUGGAUAACCUGCCUCACACUGGGGGAUAACAGUUAGAAAUGACUGCCAAUACCGCAUAAGCGCACAGUACCGCAUGGUACAGUGUGAAAAACUCCGGUGGUGUGAGAUGGAUCCGCGUCUGAUUAGCCAGUUGGCGGGGUAACGGCCCACCAAAGCGACGAUCAGUAGCCGACCUGAGAGGGUGACCGGCCACAUUGGGACUGAGACACGGCCCAA
This 232-nucleotide ribosomal RNA is filed under the name uncultured bacterium. Its description in RNAcentral is "partial 16S ribosomal RNA". It matches the Rfam family "Bacterial small subunit ribosomal RNA", at positions 104 to 334 of the family's 1533-position model. The record is from RNAcentral.